UCGCAUGGUGGGGGUUGGAAAGAUUUUUUGGUCUGGGAUGGGCUCGCGGCCUAUCAGCUUGUUGGUGAGGUAAUGGCUCACCAAGGCGUCGACGGGUAGCCGGCCUGAGAGGGUGACCGGCCACACUGGGACUGAGACACGGCCCAGACUCCUACGGGAGGCAGCAGUGGGGAAUAUUGCACAAUGGGCGGAAGCCUGAUGCAGCAACGCCGCGUGAGGGAUGACGGCCUUCGGGUUGUAAACCUCUUUUAGCAGGGAAGAAGCGAGAGUGACGGUACCUGCAGAAAAAGCGCCGGCUAACUACGUGCCAGCAGCCGCGGUAAUACGUAGGGCGCAAGCGUUAUCCGGAAUUAUUGGGCGUAAAGAGCUCGUAGGCGGUUUGUCGCGUCUGCUGUGAAAUCCCGAGGCUCAACCUCGGGCCUGCAGUGGGUACGGGCAGACUAGAGUGCGGUAGGGGAGAUUGGAAUUCCUGGUGUAGCGGUGGAAUGCGCAGAUAUCAGGAGGAACACCGAUGGCGAAGGCAGAUCUCUGGGCCGUAACUGACGCUGAGGAGCGAAAGGGUGGGGAGCAAACAGGCUUAGAUACCCUGGUAGUCCACCCCGUAAACGUUGGGAACUAGUUGUGGGGACCAUUCCACGGUUUCCGUGACGCAGCUAACGCAUUAAGUUCCCCGCCUGGGGAGUACGGCCGCAAGGCUAAAACUCAAAGGAAUUGACGGGGACCCGCACAAGCGGCGGAGCAUGCGGAUUAAUUCGAUGCAACGCGAAGAACCUUACCAAGGCUUGACAUACACCAGAACACCGUAGAAAUACGGGACUCUUUGG
Molecule: ribosomal RNA, 824 nt
Filed under: Microbacterium sp. L7-30
Lineage: Bacteria; Bacillati; Actinomycetota; Actinomycetes; Micrococcales; Microbacteriaceae
Description: bacterial SSU rRNA
Rfam family: Bacterial small subunit ribosomal RNA
Source: RNAcentral